This 404-nucleotide ribosomal RNA is filed under the name Actinomycetes bacterium. Its description in RNAcentral is "Actinobacteria bacterium partial 16S ribosomal RNA". It matches the Rfam family "Bacterial small subunit ribosomal RNA", at positions 355 to 776 of the family's 1533-position model. The record is from RNAcentral. Lineage: Bacteria; Bacillati; Actinomycetota; Actinomycetes.
UGGGGAAUAUUGGACAAUGGGCGCAAGCCUGAUCCAGCCAUGCCGCGUGAGUGAUGAAGGCCCUAGGGUUGUAAAGCUCUUUCACCGGUGAAGAUAAUGACGGUAACCGGAGAAGAAGCCCCGGCUAACUUCGUGCCAGCAGCCGCGGUAAUACGAAGGGGGCUAGCGUUGUUCGGAUUUACUGGGCGUAAAGCGCACGUAGGCGGACUAUUAAGUCAGGGGUGAAAUCCCGGGGCUCAACCCCGGAACUGCCUUUGAUACUGGUAGUCUUGAGUUCGAGAGAGGUGAGUGGAAUUCCGGGUGUAGAGGGGAAAUUCGUAGAUAUUCGGAGGAACACCAGUGGCGAAGGCGGCUCACUGGCUCGAUACUGACGCUGAGGUGCGAAAGCGUGGGGAGCAAACAGG